UGGGGAAUUUUGGACAAUGGGCGAAAGCCUGAUCCAGCCAUGCCGCGUGAGUGAAGAAGGCCUUCGGGUUGUAAAGCUCUUUUAGUCGGAAAGAAAGAGUUGCAAUGAAUAAUUGUGAUUUAUGACGGUACCGACAGAAAAAGCACCGGCUAACUACGUGCCAGCAGCCGCGGUAAUACGUAGGGUGCGAGCGUUAAUCGGAAUUACUGGGCGUAAAGGGUGCGCAGGCGGUCUUGCAAGUCAGAUGUGAAAGCCCCGGGCUUAACCUGGGAAUUGCGUUUGAAACUACAAGACUAGAGUGCAGCAGAGGGGAGGGGAAUUCCAUGUGUAGCAGUGAAAUGCGUAGAGAUGUGGAAGAACACCGAUGGCGAAGGCAGCUCCCUGGGUUGACACUGACGCUCAUGCACGAAAGCGUGGGGAGCAAACA
Molecule: ribosomal RNA, 427 nt
Filed under: uncultured bacterium
Lineage: Bacteria
Description: bacterial SSU rRNA
Rfam family: Bacterial small subunit ribosomal RNA
Source: RNAcentral